RNAcentral lists this ribosomal RNA (476 nucleotides) under uncultured bacterium. RNAcentral's name for it is "partial 16S ribosomal RNA". It matches the Rfam family "Bacterial small subunit ribosomal RNA", at positions 28 to 523 of the family's 1533-position model. The record is from RNAcentral.
GGUGAACGCUGGCGGCGUGCUUAACACAUGCAAGUCGAACGGACGAAAUAAGCUUGCUUAUUUCGUUAGUGGCGCACGGGUGAGUAAUGUAUAGCUAACCUGCCCUUUAGUGGGGGACAACAGUUGGAAACGACUGCUAAUACCCCAUACUCCUUCUUAUCAUAAGGUAAGUCGGGAAAGAUUUAUUGCUAAAGGAUGGGGCUUUAUUGUAUCAGCUUGUUGGUGGGGUAAUGGCCUACCAAGGCGAUGACGCAUACCUGGUCUGAGAGGAUGAUCAGGCACACUGGAACUGAGACACGGUCCAGACUCCUACGGGAGGCAGCAGUGGGGAAUAUUGCACAAUGGGGGAAACCCUGAUGCAGCAACGCCGCGUGGAGGAUGACGCAUUUCGGUGUGUAAACUCCUUUUAUAAGGGAAGAUAAUGACGGUACCUUAUGAAUAAGCACCGGCUAACUCCGUGCCAGCCGCCGCAGUAA